RNAcentral lists this ribosomal RNA (254 nucleotides) under uncultured bacterium. Its description in RNAcentral is "partial 16S ribosomal RNA". It matches the Rfam family "Bacterial small subunit ribosomal RNA", at positions 524 to 776 of the family's 1533-position model. The record is from RNAcentral.
UACGGAGGGUGCAAGCGUUGUCCGGAUUUAUUGGGUUUAAAGGGUGCGUAGGCGGUUAUCUAAGUCCGUGGUGAAAGGCAGCAGCUUAACUGUUCGCAUUGCCAUUGAUACUGGAUGACUUGAGUACAGACGAGGUAGGCGGAAUUUAUGGUGUAGCGGUGAAAUGCAUAGAUACCAUAAAGAACACCGAUUGCGAAGGCAGCUUACUAGGCUGUAACUGACGCUGAGGCACGAAAGCGUGGGGAUCGAACAGG